RNAcentral lists this long non-coding RNA (1752 nucleotides) under Brassica rapa (field mustard). Its description in RNAcentral is "long non-coding RNA (BRAP_LNC007271)". The record is from RNAcentral. Lineage: Eukaryota; Viridiplantae; Streptophyta; Magnoliopsida; Brassicales; Brassicaceae.
GAAAAUGAAGCUUACACACCUUUCCUUUGCUGAUGACUUAUUGAUUUUUAUUGAUGGAUCCUUGGAGUCUGUUCAGACGGUGCUACAGGUACUCCAUGAGUUUGAGAAGAGGUCGGGAUUAGCGGUGAGCUUUCAGAAGACAAGUUUUUAUGCGUCAGGUAUGAGUGCACAAGAAAUAGAUACAAUUCAAGCUUCAACGGGUAUGACUUGUGGUACUUUACCUGUGCGCUACUUGGGAGUCCCCUUAAACUCAAGAAAGCUCAAUCUCACUAACUGUGAGCCGUUAAUCCAUCAGAUAAAGAAGAGACUUUCUUCAUGGUCAGUUAAGUCUCUUUCCUUCUCAGGAAGACUACUUCUGAUCAAGACCGUCAUAUCGGGGAUAACAACCUUCUGGUGCUCAGCCUUCAUCCUGCCAAAAGCAUGUAUCAAAAGAAUUAAUUCUCUAUGCAGUGUCUUUUUGUGGAAAGGAGAUAUUGAGAGUCAUAACUCGGCGAGAGUAGCUUGGGACACGGUGACGCUUACUAAAAGUCAAGGAGGCCUAGGGAUCAAAGAUCUAAACACUUGGAACACGGCCUGUUGUCUCAAACUCAUCUGGAUGCUGUUCUUCCGUGCAGGUUCAAUCUGGGUCGCCUGGUUCAAAGAAGAGGUUUUGAAAGGAUCAAUUCAUAAUUACUGGACCACAAAACCUAGUACCUCGUUCACCUGGCUCGCGAACAAACUGCUGAAGCUUAAGACUGUUGUAUAUCCGCUGAUCAAACUGAGACUGCAGAAUGGCACAUCAGCAAGGUUCUGGACUGAUAACUGGACUCCAUUCGGUAGUCUAACAACCUUCCUCAACAAUUCUUCCUCCAGGCUUGGCAUCCCUGCAGCAGCUACGGUUGCCUCACUCUCUUGGAAUGGAAUGUGGCAGCUCCCAUCAGCGAGAACAGAGCAACAACUGCAGCUUCUCACAUACCUAACAACAGUUACACUUAAUCAGGAACAAGACUACUAUGAAUGGGAGUUGGCAGGCAAGACUGUCAGUAAAUACAGUACAGGAGAUGUCUACACUUACCUUCGUGGAGAGAUAGCUGAUGUCAAUUGGUCGAAGUCAAUCUGGUCUUCUUAUGAAAUUCCCAGACAUUCUUUCCUCGCUUGGCUUGUAAUCAAUAACAGAUGCCCCACUCGUGAUAGGCUUAUCGGCUGGGGAAUUCAGGUUUCACCUCUCUGUCUCCUAUGCAAUCUUCAUUCAGAAUCUCGAAACCAUCUGUUCUAUGAAUGUGGUUACAGUUUUGAUCUCUGGAACCUCGUUGCAACUAAGUGUGGCUUAACGCCUUGUCGUGAUUGGGACGGCACGGUUUUUCAGAUGAUUGCACUUCCUCGAUCAAAAUCCCGCCGGCACAGCACUCUUUUAACCCUCCUAGCGUGGAAAUCAACUAUCUACUGGACUUGGAAUGAAAGGAACUCCAGGCUUCACCAAAACAGCUUCCGAUCGGUCGACUCUCUGUUUGUGGCGCUUGAUAGAUAACUUAGGAACAGAAUCCAGAGUUUCAGAGAAACAAAUCCAACCCUCUCUUCUGCGAUGAUUCAACUCUGGUUUCAAUCCCCAUAGCCAACCUCUCCUGCUGUUGCAACUGCAUAUCGGCACUCAUCGCUUCCGUCGCAGACAACGCUUUGAUCGUUUUCUCACAAAACUAAAUUAUGGGUUCACUUGGGUUUUUACUAUGAGUUUUUAAGAUUGGGCAGGGUCCUGUAACUUUAAGCCCAUGGCUU